UAUUUACUUAAGAGACAUUUAAUAAUUAUUUUUAAUUUAGGAAUGGUUUUUACAACUCCUUAAGUGCUAAACAAAAAUUAUUUUUUAGGAGAUAAUGAACUUUAUAAAAUGAUCCAAUCUUGUUCUAUUUGUUAUAUCAAAAGAAGGGAAACUAUGGCUGCAAUUCUUAAGUUUAUAUAUGCUAUGUUUCUUUUUAUUUCCUUAUUUAUGUUUCCAAUGGCAAUUGAAAGUAAAGCAUUUUUUGAACCUGCAAAUUUCCUAUUAUACUUCAUAUUUGUACACUAUGUUUUGUAAAGAUUUCUUAAUAUUAUUUUAUUCUCUUUUCUUGUUGCAGGUAAAAAUUGUCAAACUGAUGAAGAAUGUUUAAAAAAUUACAGAUGCCCUCCUCAUUUGAGUCUGCAGUGUAUUCAUGGUUGGUGUGAAUGUGAGCCGCCAGUGGAGCAGCCAAUAGAGACGCCGGUGGAUCUUAUUGAAUAAGUUAUUAACCUAGCAAAAUAUCUAUGUAAUAAUAAAAUCAUAUGUUGCAAUCCAUUUAUUAUGGUGCUACCAAGUUAAUGUAUUUCUGGACUUUAAGACUGUUGAAAUAAUAAAAUAAAGUAAUAAAGAAUAUUGUGUAUUGAGCCUAACUUAUCCUUACAAAACCGCCUUGUAAUGUGAUGAUUGCCUUUAGUAUAUAAACACUUAGUCAGACCAUCUCUCAACCGAUUUGAGACUCUUAACACACCGCCUCACGCCCAGUACUAUUGGACUUGGUGCGUGGAUAUAAACGGUGGGUGGCCCGAUAGCGGAAACCUGAUAACAGGUGGCCCAACGAAUCGUGGAGAGGCUCUGAUACCAUCUUAAAAUUGAGUAUUGGGUCUAACUUAUUCUUACAAAACCGGCUUGUAAGAUGAUGAUUGUCUCUAGUAUAUAAACACUUAGUCAGACCAUCUCUCAACCGAUGUGAGACUCUUAACAAUUUCCUUGGUAUCCAAUGCAGGCUUAUCAUUAUUAUUUUUUGCAAACCAAUCAAAUUUUAGAAUAUCUUUAAUAUAUAGAGGUCUUACAUUUUUAAGAAAAGCUUUAUUUUGAUUUAGUACAACUCACUUUUCUAAUGGAUUAAACAUCAGUUUCGACACGAAAUAAUUAGGCAUGUGUAUUUCCCUUUUACGAAUUUGUGUUAGGUUGGUGCUGUCUUGAUUUUUCUGUCAUAGUAUUUCUGGUUGCUUUGCUUCUGUUGUUUUGGCAUUUAGUUAAAAGAUUUGUUUCAAAAUUUGCAAAUUUGUUUCAAAAGAGCAUUAGUUCUUAUUUUUCAAUUACAAGACCUGGAAGACAAUUAUGUUGAAUUUAUACUUAAAAUUAGUUUUGGAAUUGGGUAAUCAAAGAUACAAACUGAGAGCAAUAGCAAUUACAUUUUUUUUUAUAAGCAAAAGAUAGAUUAAAUAAAAGGAAGUACUAUGGGUGCUUCAACCAUUACAAGAGAUAGUUUAAAUGCAGCAUUAAUUUAUAUUGUUAGAAAUUGAAAGCUAAGAAUUUAAAAUUGCUUCCUUCCAUAUGUUUUAAAAAUUUUAAAUUGACCCCUAUAUUAUUUUUAAAAUUGUAAAUUGACUCCUAAAAAUUUUAAAAAUGGCAAAUUGACUCCUACUCUAUCCUAAAAAUUUGUUUUAAAAUUUUGAAAAUUUGCAAAUUAGUUCCUAUUUUUCAAAUUUAAAAAUUGACCCAAAACUUUUAAAAUUUAUAAAAGUGACCCAAAAUUGUUCACAAUAAAAUUUCCUAUUACUCUAUCCAUACACACACAUUUAAAAAAUAAGGUAAUUCAAAUACAAUCAUUUGAAUUGCUUAGAAUUUCAAAUCAUCUAAAAUUUCUAAUUACUCCAUUCAAAUUGUCGAUAUGUUUGGUUGGAGGAAUGUUUUAAGGUAAAAUAUUGUUUUGACGGAAUUUAAUUUUUUUUUGUCUAAAUUUCAUUGUUUGAUUAUAAUGGUUAAUUUGUCUAAAUUCUAUUGUUUACUCCAUUAGUUUGUCAAAGUUAAAUUUAAGGAAUUUCAAAUGACUCCAGAAAGCUAGAAAUUUGAAAUUCCUUCCUUCCGUAUAUUUCAACAUUUUCAAAAUGACCCCUAUUUUUUUCAAAAAUUGUAAAUUAGUCCCUAAAAAUUUGCAAAUUGGUCUUUAAAAGUUUAAAAAUUGCAAAUCGGUCCUUAUUUUUCAAAUUUAAAAUUUGACGUACAACUUUUCAAAUUUAUAAAAGUGGCCCAAAAUAUUCACUAUGAAAUUUCUUAUUACUCUUUCCAAAGACACACAUUUUAAAAUGAAUGUAAUUUAAAUACAAUCAUUUGAGUUACUUAUAAUUUCAAAUCUUCUAAACUUUCUAAUUACUUCAUCAAAACACACUAGUUUUUUUUUUUUUUUAAGGUCUAUUGACAUAAGUGACCGUNNNNNNNNNNNNNNNNNNNNNNNNNNNNNNNNNNNNNNNNNNNNNNNNNNNNNNNNNNNNNNNNNNNNNNNNNNNNNNNNNNNNNNNNNNNNNNNNNNNNNNNNNNNNNNNNNNNNNNNNNNNNNNNNNNNNNNNNNNNNNNNNNNNNNNNNNNNNNNNNNNNNNNNNNNNNNNNNNNNNNNNNNNNNNNNNNNNUGUAACCUUGAAUAGUUUUUUGCCUCCUACUAUUGCCCCUGUCUCUUUUGUGACAACAAGAAGGCUUGCCAAUGGACAUGUAGCAUAAGAUCCUAAAAAUAUUUAGGGCAAAAAUCUUAUUAAUUUUUUUUAUUUAAAAAAAACAUAGAAAAAAGAAAUUUUUUGUAUUAAUAAAGGUGUUGAAUUAUUUCACAUUUUACAACCCUCAUAUACAUAAGAUUUCAACUUCAUUCCUUAAGAUUAUAAGGUCAAAUUCAUAUAUUACAUAGUUGUAGCUUUGUGGACAAAAAAAAUUCAUAGGUAUAACCAUUAUUUGUUACUUGAAGGAAUUAUCAAAACACGGGUACUCCUAAAAUGGUGAAGUAUCCGUACCGGCUACGUACCAGUACCGGAUACUCCAUAUGGUACACGUAUGGUACGCACCGAUUCCGUAUCUAUUUUUAUUUAGUUGAUUUAUGAUGAUGAAUACGGAAAAAACAUUGUAAGGAAAAUGAUGAGCAUUGUAAGGAAAAUGAUACCUGUGAUGAGCAUUGUAAGGAAAAUGAUGGAAAUAAGAGACUUAGCGGUGGUUUCCAUGGUGUUUGAUUGCUGAUUCUUAUGCCUUAUGUUGUCUAAUUUAUCUGUAAAUCAAUUAUACCAAGUCCUAAGCAACAUAUAUAUAUAUAUAUAUAGUGUUUUAAUUAAUAUUUGUUUCAUAUAGUAUACAUAUUUUUUAUUAAAAAAUAAAAAGAAUUUAUAUUGAGGUUGAAUCAUUUAAUGCAUUCAAAGUCAAAAUUUUUUUUUUUGAUAAUUUUAAAUUUUUGACCAGUAUUUUUUUAAUAAUAUUGAACCCUACAUUAGAGAAUACCUUAAAAAACCAUGCAUAACAUGUGACAUUAAGUUUUUUCUUUUUUUUUUGGUCAAGAGAUUAUGUUUUUUCUAUAUAAGAAUAAAAGUAUAAUUUAUUUUAUAGUAUUUAGUCAAAUUUUUCAAUUUUAUUAUUUUCAUUACUUUUCACUUAAAAUUUAUAAUAUUAUUAUAAUAAUUUGACAUUCUAAUUAAUUUGUAUGACUUAAUUUAUUAAUAACUAAUUUUUUUUAAGCGAAGAGCACCUAGACAUCAAGAGACAAAGUCGGCUUCACCCCCAUUAUUUGCAUGUGGCUCCUUAUUAUAUAUAUAUGUACAAAAAUUGGGGGACAUAAAUUAAACCUAACCCGAUGAGUCCAUAAAAAAGGACGUAGGACAAUUAAGCAUACCAACUUCUAGUUAAUUCUAACAGAAAAAAUAGAAGUUUUAAAAAUUUGAGGCACCGUCUACAUGAAAACGGUCUACACGUACUGUUGGGGAGUCCGGGGCAGCUCAGGAGAGGGAGACGCCACAUCCCAACUGAUGACAGCCAAUUAUAUGAUGUUUUUAGUAGUAAUUGAGGAGAAUUUAAAUAGUAAUUGAAGCCCAAAAGCAAACAAAUACCAGGAAAAGUGAAUUUACAAGACCCAGAAGCAAGAAAAGUGGAAAAAGCAGCAAAAAAUGCCAAAAAUGUAAUAAAGCAGCGCAACCAUCGUACCCACGAUGAGUCUCAGCGUGGCGCGAUGAGAAGGCGGUUAAAUUGAAGAAAAUCUGCAGAAAAUCUUUUCCAUCAUGGCACGAUGGCUUGUCAUGAUAUCGUGGCACGAUGAUGACUUGAAGAAUACGCAGAGAAUCCUGAGAAGAUCUUCCAUUGCACCACGAUAGGAUCCAUCGUGGCCAUGAUGAGGCGAAAAUACACGCCAUCGUGGCCACGAUGGGUGCAAUGGAUGCACAAAAAAAGCCCAAAUAUAGCUGAAAAACUAUAAAUAGAGUCUCCUUCCUCCACUAUUAUUCAUUCAGAAAUAUUGAGACAUGUUCAAUAUUCACUCUAGAGUAGGAGAACUCUAAGGAGAAGGCAAGGAGGCCAAGGAACUCCGAGGCCAACAAGGUUCUUUUCUUUCUGCUUUUGUAAUUUAUUUUUCCUAGGUUAGAUGGAGUCCAGGAACUCCAUUACGAAUGCUUGAUUGUAUAAUUUAUAUAUUUUGGGUAUAAAUUCAAUUGUUUCUACUAUAAUCUCUUUUAUUGUCUGAUAUUAUGAUUACUUUAAUAUUGAUCAUAUUAGAAUAAAAUCUAAGGCCCUAGUGGAUAUCACAUAGGUGAUGAAUCUUCAUCAAUCACUAUUUUUAGAUUCUUUUUAAUUAAGUUUUUAAGAUCAUUUUAUUAGUUUAGUGCUUAAUUUAGAGUCAUUUUAAAUAAAUUGCAUUUUUUAGUUUAUUGAGUCAAUUAAGUAUUUUUCUUUAUUAAUAUUUCAUUUUGUGUAGUUUUUAUUUUGUGAAGUUAGUAACAUAUUGUGUAGUGUAGGUGAUGGCCUAAAAGGGAGUAUAUCGUUUAAUAUGAUGGACUUGUGUACAAUGAAAGGAAGACAACUUGGGCCUUAUGUUGAAGUCAUUACCCGAACCAAGGAAAUGAAAAGGAAGGUUUCUUUGCAAAUUGAGGGGCUGGUUACUGUAGCGCGAGAGAAAGGAACGGAGGAAUGAAACAGAAUAGUGGUGGAGGAUGAAUUGAAACAAGCAUCUCGCACACCAAGCCUGCACACUAUUACAUGAUUUUAUCUUUAUUUCAUUGUUUCUUUAGUAUGAUGUCUAGCUAAAUUCUCAUGAUUGGUCCUUAGGGAAUUCUGAUUAUUAUUUCUCUUGAACCAUGUGAUUAUCAUAUGUUAUGAUCAAUGAAUUACGAAGUUAGUUUCUUCAAUUUUUCCUUGUGCUUAAUGUUUUACAUGACUUGAUCAAUUAUGUGAUGAUUUCAAUUAUUUGUUUUACUAUGACGAUAGGAAUGAAUGGUCGAUCUAGGAAUGAUUGAUCAAUUAACUUUCACUUAAGACAUUUCGGAUUGUUAAUUGAGAUUAAAAGAUUAAAGUUUGUAAACCUCAAUUGAUCAUAGAUUACCUAAGACAUUAGGAAUCGAUGAUCAAGGGAGAGGAUUAUGUUACCAAGACAUUGAGCAUAAUCAUUUUUUAUUUAAUCUAAUCGUGAAAUUAAAUUGAGUAAUUUGUGAUCAUACAUGAAAUUACCAAGAGAAGUAGUAAUUAGAUGAACCAAAAGGAUCAAUCACCUUUCUUCUAUUGAUUUUAAUCUUAAGUUAUUUCCAAUCUUUAUGAUCGAAAUUUGAACCAAAUAAAUCCUCCCCCCCUUUUUUUUACAUUUAAAUUUAUGUGUUUAAGUAUGUAUUCAAUUUGUGUUUGAAUUACAACAAUCCCUGAGGAACGAUAAUUUUUACUACUUGCGAUAAUUUUGUGCACUUGCAAAAUAUUCAUCAAAUUUUUGCAAAAACUUGAUAGAAAUUUAGCAAGUGUACUAAAUCGCCGUCAAGUAAUAUAAUAAAUCGUUCUUUCCGCAGGGAUUGUUGUAAUUCAAAUGGAAAUUAAAGGCAUACUUAAGAAAAUUGACAUAAUAGUAACCAAGGGGGGAGUGUGCUUGGUUCAAAGUUUUGAUCAUAAACUUAAGAAAUGACUUAAAAUUCAAAUUGAUAAAAAAAAGUGAUUGAUCCUUUUGGUUCAUCUAAUUACUAUUUCUCUUGGUAAUUUCAUGUAUGAUAACAAAUUACUCAAUUUAGUUUCAUGGUUAGAUUAAACAUAAUUGAUUAUGCCCAAUGUCUUGGUAACAUAAUCAUCUCCCUUGAUCAUUAAUCCCUAAUUUCUUAGGAUGAUCGAUGAUCAAUUGAGGAAUAAAAACUUUAAUCUUUUAAAUCUCAAUUAACAUUUCAAAAUGUCUUAAGUGAAAGUCAAUUGAUCAAUUAUUCCUAGAUCGAUGAUUUAUUCCUAUUUUUAUAGAAAAACAAAUGAUAUUUUUAUAGAAAAACAAAUGAUUGAAAUCAUCAUACAAUUGGCCAAAUCAUAUAAAGCAUUAAGCAUAAAGAAUAUCAAUAGAAACUAAAUUCGUAAUUCAUUCAUCAUAUCAAAUGGCAAUCACAUUGUUCAAGAUCAAAAGUAAUUAGAAUCCCCUAAGGAUUAAUCAUAAAGAUUUAGCCAAACAUGUUCAAAUAAGAAAUUACAUUAACAUGAGUGAAAGAAAUCAUCAUUACAAGAAGGGAUUAGAUGUGUUUCCACCCUUGAAUCCUUGCUUGAAUGCCUCUUUGAUCCUCUGAAAUAGCCGUCAAAAAUCAGUUUUUGAUCCAGGAUUUCGUAACCCUAAAAUUAGAAACUGUUUUCAAUUUAUAGUGCAGUUUUCGUGCCAAGCCAGGCUUGGAUCUGCCCAAGUUGGGUGCAACAGGCAGAGGCUCAAAUAGAAAAAUAAAAUUUUUUCUGAGUCAGGCUUAGUUGACAGCAAUAACACCAAAUUUGACUCUUUUCUUCCAAUCCGAGAAACAUUAAAACUCAAUGUAAUUCCUUGUAUUAUUGUACUAAAACAUGUUAAAAACUACUUGUUUGCUUGCAUUUGCUUAAAAGAACAUAGAAAUGAUAUGAAGUCAUCAAUAGGAAACAAAGCUAGUAAUCCCGAACGAAGGACGGUAUGCUAGGGCCAACAUGAGACCAUUAAAUUCAGUAUCUGAGGUCUUAUUAUAGGAUUGGAACACACAAUAAGUUCUACCUUACAGAGUUGCUUGUGGGUAAGUGACUCGUUUUAGGCACACGUGACAGCUUAUGACACACGAAGUCACCGAGGUAAUGAUACCAACCUUAUAUACAAAAAAAUAUAACUUCGGGGCGACGAUGCUUAAAUAGAGUAAGGGUAACCUUUAACUAGGCUCUGUACAACUUGUAAUAGAAAUAAGAACAUAUAUUGCUUCAAACCUAUUUUCAACAGUCUAAAUCCUAAUUGAGGGAAAUAAUUGAGCAACCUAGCAGGAGUAAGGGCGGGAUCCGACCACACUUAACCACCCCGUGUCGUCACACACACGCCUUUUACUUUUCAGUCAUUUAGUUUUUAGCAUUUAUUUCCUGUUAUUUACUAAUUACUCGCAAAGAUACCCUUUUCAAAACAAACAAAGCGAAGGCAACUAUAAUAUUCCUAAGCGAAACUAAUAACCUUGGCACAAUCCCUAUGGAGAACGAUAAACUUACUACUUUAUUACUUGGUAGCGAUUUUGUGCACUUGCAGAACCACCGUCAAGUUUUUAGCGCCGUUGCCGGGGAUUAUGUUUACAAAGUAACUAACUUAGUUUAGGAAUUGUAAAUAUUUCGAAAAAGAAAAAUACCAAAAAAAUUUAAAAAAAUCUGUUCAUGCAGAAAUUAAACUAACAGAAGAUUCUGGCUAGGCAAGAUAUGGUACUUAAGCGAUCCUAGUGAUCCACCUCUCUUACUUGGGAAUCCCUGUGGUUGAAUCUUUGCAUACAAGAACAAUAAAAAAUACGUAAAACUGUCCUGCUAAAGGUAUCUUCUUUAGUGUAUGCAGGAAACAAAUACUGAAGUCGUAGAAUACGAUCCUGAGCUAGAAAAAA
This 8027-nucleotide long non-coding RNA is filed under the name Trifolium pratense (red clover). RNAcentral describes it as "long non-coding RNA (TPRA_LNC003717)". The record is from RNAcentral. Lineage: Eukaryota; Viridiplantae; Streptophyta; Magnoliopsida; Fabales; Fabaceae.